RNAcentral lists this ribosomal RNA (528 nucleotides) under Triticum aestivum (bread wheat). RNAcentral's name for it is "partial small subunit ribosomal RNA". Lineage: Eukaryota; Viridiplantae; Streptophyta; Magnoliopsida; Poales; Poaceae. The record is from RNAcentral.
AUGUGGACCGAUGAUCUUAAAGUCUCUGUUCAUAGUACUGCUUUCCACUACAUAUUAUCUAAAGUAGUUCAUGUAGCUUCGGGGGUCAGCUUUUGUUUGAUUUGUAUAUAUGGUGACCCGUACCAUAGGCAAACUAGUGCCAUCUGGGAUCAAGUUUCUACUUUUGUGUAUGAUAAUCUGGGUAUCCCCAUGAUGUGUUUGGGGGACUUGAAUGACAUCCUGUAUGAUAUUGAUGGUUGUAAUGGCUAUGUGAAUUACUAUCGUAUGCAUGCUUUUCGUUCCCUUGUCAAAAAUUGUGGUUUGUUUGAUAUUGGUUAUUGUGGUCCAGCCUAUACUUGGCGCGGUAGACAACACACUUCUAAUCCUAUUUAUAGACGCCUUGACCGUUGUUUAGUUAAUUCUGAGUGGUGCAUGCAUUGCCCUAAUACCAAAGUUCUUAAUCUGCCUAUUAUUUUGAGUGAUCAUGCCCCCAUUUUGGUGUCUACUGAAGGUAAUUUUGUCAAGCCUCGGCAAACUUUCAAAUUUUAA